RNAcentral lists this long non-coding RNA (673 nucleotides) under Citrus x clementina. RNAcentral describes it as "Citrus clementina (C. clementina) long non-coding RNA (CCLE_LNC004080)". The record is from RNAcentral. Lineage: Eukaryota; Viridiplantae; Streptophyta; Magnoliopsida; Sapindales; Rutaceae.
CGAAUCAAAUCGAAUCCGGAUUCGUUUAUUAUUCGUUUAUCCUUAACGAGUCGAACCGAAUCGAAUCGAAUAAGGAUUCAUUUACAAUUCGUUUAGAAAAAUAUAAUUAAUAAACAAAAUUAAGCAAAAUAAAAUAUAAAAAAUCACAAUUUUAACAUCCCACAACAAAAUACAAGUAACUCAAACCAUAUUUUGCAGUCAUCUAAAUACUAAAUUACAAAUCCCUAAUACUACAAAUAACAAUAAUUCAAAUUCAAAUUAUAAAAUAAGGUAAUUUCUUUAAUUCUCUUCAUUUGUUUUUUUCACCUUGAAAACAAAAAUCCUACACCAAAAAGUAAAUAAAAAUAUUAUUAACAAUUUAACAUACUGAAAUAUUGAUAAUAAUCAUUGUAAAAUUUCAAAAUAUCAAAUAUAUAGCAAAUUUGUCAUAUUUUUAAGAAAAUAAUAAUUAAACAAGACAAAACUUUACCUAUCAUACUCACACAAAUCCAAGGAUUUGAAGCAGUGGCAAAACGUAGCACUUGCUGGAUGUAAAAAAAAAAAAAAAAGGGGAUUUGGAGAAGGAAAUGAAGGGAAAGAGAUGGCAAAAUGUAGCAGUGGCGGCUGAGUUGCUAGGAGGUGAGGGAAAAGUGCGUGUGAAGUGUAAAAUUAGGGUUGGUCUUUUGACUUUAUG